This 378-nucleotide ribosomal RNA is filed under the name uncultured bacterium. RNAcentral's name for it is "bacterial SSU rRNA". It matches the Rfam family "Bacterial small subunit ribosomal RNA", at positions 521 to 898 of the family's 1533-position model. The record is from RNAcentral.
UAAUACGGAGGGUGCAAGCGUUAAUCGGAAUUACUGGGCGUAAAGCGCACGCAGGCGGUUUGUUAAGUCAGAUGUGAAAUCCCCGCGCUUAACGUGGGAACUGCAUUUGAAACUGGCAAGCUAGAGUCUUGUAGAGGGGGGUAGAAUUCCAGGUGUAGCGGUGAAAUGCGUAGAGAUCUGGAGGAAUACCGGUGGCGAAGGCGGCCCCCUGGACAAAGACUGACGCUCAGGUGCGAAAGCGUGGGGAGCAAACAGGAUUAGAUACCCUGGUAGUCCACGCUGUAAACGAUGUCGACUUGGAGGUUGUGCCCUUGAGGCGUGGCUUCCGGAGCUAACGCGUUAAGUCGACCGCCUGGGGAGUACGGCCGCAAGGUUAAA